UUAGGCCUUGACAUACUAAGAACUUUCCAGAGAUGGAUUGGUGCCUUCGGGAACUUAGAUACAGGUGCUGCAUGGCUGUCGUCAGCUCGUGUCGUGAGAUGUUGGUUAAGUCCGCAACGAGCGCAACCCUUUUCCUUAUUUGCCAGCGGGUAAUGCCGGGAACUUUAAGGAUACUGCCAGUGACAAACUGGAGGAAGGCGGGGACGACGUCAAGUCAUCAUGGCCCUUACGGCCAGGGCUACACACGUGCUACAAUGGUCGGUACAAAGGGUUGCUACCUCGCGAGAGGAUGCUAAUCUCAAAAAGCCGAUCGUAGUCCGGAUCGCAGUCUGCAACUCGACUGCGUGAAGUCGGAAUCGCUAGUAAUCGCGGAUCAGAAUGCCGCGGUGAAUACGUUCCCGGGCCUUGUACACACCGCCCGUCACACCAUGGGAGUUUGUUGCACCAGAAGUAGGUAGUCUAACCGCAAGGAGGACGCUUACCACGGUGUGGCCGAUGACUGGGGUGAAGUCGUAACAAGGUAAGCGUAGAUGA
RNAcentral lists this ribosomal RNA (534 nucleotides) under uncultured bacterium. Its description in RNAcentral is "bacterial SSU rRNA". It matches the Rfam family "Bacterial small subunit ribosomal RNA", at positions 974 to 1509 of the family's 1533-position model. The record is from RNAcentral.